AGGUGAACCUGCGGAAGGAUCAUUAGUAUUUACACCAAGAGCCCGGACAACUUGCCGUACCCUGUGUGGGGCAAGAGACCGUAGGCCUUUUUUGGUAUUACCAUAACUCUUCUGUGUACCUAUUACUUGUUGCUUCCCUGGGGCAACCCAGGGAAGGCACACAUAUACUCUGCUUAUUGCAGUCAGUCUGAUAAUGUUUUUUCAUAAAUGUUAAAACUUUCAACAACGGAUCUCUUGGUUCUCG
This 244-nucleotide unclassified non-coding RNA is filed under the name uncultured fungus. Its description in RNAcentral is "partial contains 18S rRNA, ITS1 and 5.8S rRNA". Lineage: Eukaryota; Fungi. The record is from RNAcentral.